UCUGGUAGUUAUGGCGAGAAGGUCACACCCGUUCCCAUCCCGAACACGGUAGUUAAGCUUCUCUGCGCCAAUGGUAGUUGGGGGUUUC
Molecule: ribosomal RNA, 88 nt
Filed under: Listeria welshimeri
Lineage: Bacteria; Bacillati; Bacillota; Bacilli; Caryophanales; Listeriaceae
Source: RNAcentral